This 294-nucleotide ribosomal RNA is filed under the name uncultured bacterium. Its description in RNAcentral is "partial 16S ribosomal RNA". It matches the Rfam family "Bacterial small subunit ribosomal RNA", at positions 29 to 333 of the family's 1533-position model. The record is from RNAcentral.
AACGAACGCUGGCGGCAUGCUUAACACAUGCAAGUCGAACGGACGCUUUCGGGCGUUAGUGGCGCACGGGUGAGUAGCGCGUGGGAACCUGCCUUUUGGUUCGGAACAACCACGGGAAACUGUGGCUAAUACCGGAUAAGUCGGAGUGCUUUGGAGGCAUUCUGGGAAAGAUUUAUCGCCGAAAGAGGGCCCGCGUCCGAUUAGGUAGUUGGUGGGGUAAGUGGCCUACCAAGCCUAUGAUCGGUAGCUGGUCUGAGAGGAUGAUCAGCCACACUGGGACUGAGACACGGCCCA